Long non-coding RNA from Alligator mississippiensis (American alligator), 1416 nucleotides. RefSeq lists it as uncharacterized. The record is from RefSeq and is a predicted model, not a curated record. The transcript has 2 exons. NCBI's taxonomy places the organism in Eukaryota, Metazoa, Chordata, Crocodylia, Alligatoridae.
AAUCUUCUUAGGCCUGAAACCUGUUUAGCAAUAAAUAAAAUUCAGGAAAAGUAGAUGUAGUUCUCCUGGAAUACAUGUUGGCGGGAGGGAGAAUAUUAUUUAGAAAAAUGUUCUAACUUUUUUGACACCCCAACUUAUAAACUUGGCAGAAUUGCAUGCUGAUUAUCUCAUGAGAAACAUUCUGGGCUGAAAAACUCAUUAGUCCUCUCUAUUCCCCUAUAUUACAUUCUCUGUAUUCCUCUAUAUUACAUUCUCUAUAUUCCUGUAUGUUGCUUUGAUUUUUUUCUUUCUAUUUUUUUUGUUCUACCCUUUCUUUGCCUGUCGUUCUCAUUGAGACAAGACCUCCAUAAAAAUCUCUUAAUGUAAUGGACCAUUUCUGAGACGUGCAGGAAGCACUGAUUUCUCACCGCUCAGCAGUUUAGCAGGAAUACCUUCCCGCUCAAUGGGUAGACACUCUGAGGAACUCGCUGCUACAGGAGGUUACUAAGAUCACAUAUUUCGGUAAAUAAUGACCUAUCUAGGGUUAUAAAAGUAAAUCAAACUAAGAGUUUUGGGGACAAACCCCUCAACACUAGUUUACCCUUGCUGGGGAUGAGCAUGGAGGCAUUUGCAUGGAGGCAGAUUAUACCACCUCGCUCUGCUGUCCGGUCUUUGCCCCUUUUUUUAAGGCCACGUGAAUUAGGAUGGUACUAUGGCCCCAUGUUCCUACAGGUUUUGUUUUCAAUCCCAGAGGUCUUUCCUCCCGACUGUCCGUCUCUCCGGGAGUCGCAGAACGACAGGAGAAAAGAGGUGCUCAUUUGUGCAUCAAGUCAAGACUAAUGCUACAAUGAGUUUAGGAAAAAUUUGGUUUAAGCAAAACUGCAGAGCAUUAAUUCACCUGUCAUUUAUUUAAGGCAUCCGAAGAAGGAAGAAGGAAAGGCUGGGCUGUGGCAGGGAGCCAGUAUCAAUGGGGGCUGAGCCAAAGGAAAGGCACGAGGGUUUCACACGCUGGCCGCUCUCCCUCCGUCGGGGCGCUUGGCAGGCGCACCCCUGUUUUCAGCCUCCUCUUUCUGAGGACGACGACUCGUACGUACUGACGACUCAGAAUCAGGCACCUGGAAGUUCGUCGCAAAGGGCACGCUGAGAAUUACGCUACAAAUCACCGUGUCCAAGGAUGAAAAGAGGCCCCUCCAGAGCUGGGCUCAGCACCUCCGCGACGUCCUCCUUUCCAUUCAACCACAGGCCUCUCCCUCCGAGCGCAAGCGGUCUUUGGGAGAGGUGGAAACAGAAGCAAGGAACCACAAAGAGGGAUUCUGGUAACAACCAUUCAACCUCCUGACCUCCGUCUUUGGACCCUUGGCUGGCAAGAGCGCACGUGAAUUAUCUAGAUGUCAGAUACAGGAACUGUUUUCUGAAUCCAUUAAAAAGGUCUGCUCA